UGCAUGGACAGAAUUUACUGGAAAGAGUCCCGUGUAUCAACACAGCCAAAUCCUGUUUGCACUGCCUGCGCACUGGGAUCAUUUCCCAUGCUCUCGGUUCACCAGCAAGCUGAGGUGGGGGUCAAAGGACUUGGCCCUGAGCUCCUACGAUCCGCUCGUCAUUCUUAGAUCAACCGUUCAGCUUUAGAACGGUCUGUCAGGGAAGACUGACUGCCGAGGGAUCGCCAAGGCUCAAGAAGGCCGUAGGACUUGAACCAGACUCUGGAUCCCUGCUGCUUACAGUUUUCUGAAGAAACAUUGAAAAACAGUCCGCUUUCACACUUCAGAGCAGAUUUCACACAAUACGUCGUGCCAGAGUCAUCGUACGAACAGCGUGACAGUGAAGUCUGGCUUCAUACAUUUCUCUAAGUGUUUGCCCAGAAGGCUAAACAAACGUCUAGGCAGAUGAGGUAGAAUGAAUUUAGGUCAGACAGCCUCUUUCUGAACGAAAGGCCACUCAUCUUUUUGUGGGUGCAGCACGGCUAAACUCCGAACACGACGCACUAUGCUCUAACAGGACAACUUUGCAUAGUGCUGGACGUAAGAAUGACUCAAAAGCUUUGCAUUCCACAAAUAAUGAUACUUAUUUGAAGACCGGUCUACAUAAAACAGAAAGCAGACUGUCUGGAUAAAAUGGUGAAAUGUGAAGAAAAAAAUGUGUGGAACAAACCAAUAUUCAUGCAGGAAAAAUCACAUGCGCUCUACGUACACUGUAAGCAUCAACUGCCAAUCCACGGCGCUCGAUGUGUAUUAAAGCAAAACACUCUGAAGUUACUGGAUGUCUUCUUUGAUAGGAGGCUUUAUCAAUUUUACAUGAUUCUCAGUUAGCUUGGCGGCAUGGAUUUGUUUUGCACAGAAUAUUAAAACACCUGUACCCUUCAAUGUCACUCUGCCAGCUGCAUUUACUUUAGAAACUGUAUCCAAAUAUCUUCUCAAAUCUAAAGAGUUUUAAAACCAAAAUGGCUUUAAUACUUAAUUCUCGUUAUAAAUAUACCAUACUGUAUUUCGCAUUAAACUUUUUGAUUAUCUGUCAGCACCAAAAUUCCGUUUUUAUUUAUGUACAUGUGACAGUUUCACAUUAGAGCGCCUGUCUGCGAUGUGAUAAUAUACAGACGCCUCCAGGGAAGAAAAAACAAAAAAAACUUGGAAAAUUGUGUGGAUCCAGAUCAUUAGGUCAUAAGGUGAAUUUAUAUUAGGAAAAAGCAAAGAAAACUAUGAACUCGCUGACUGUAGCUGAAAGGUCAAAGGUCACUAGGCUGCUCUGAAUAGAUAAAUCAUUGACUAAAAAUCUAUGCAUUUAUGUAAAAAUACUAAGGCUGUCAUUUUAUUACAAAUUUUAAGUUAAUUAACUGCAUGAUUAAUAUACGUAACACAUACACAUCUUGGUAAGUGUGGUUUGGCCUUUGUAUAUGGGUCAGAAGACAUGAAUAACUUAAUUUUUUAUCAUAUGUGAUCCCGGACCA
This is a long non-coding RNA of Labeo rohita (rohu), 1502 nucleotides long. RefSeq lists it as uncharacterized. NCBI's taxonomy places the organism in Eukaryota, Metazoa, Chordata, Actinopteri, Cypriniformes, Cyprinidae. The transcript is spliced from 4 exons. The record is from RefSeq and is a predicted model, not a curated record.